UACAACAAAAACGAUGAAACCAAUUUUCAAAUUGGGAAUUUUUGACAAACUUUUGUUGUUUUCUUUUUAUUUAGUAAAUUACAAUCUUGCUCGCCUUCGAAUUUCUUGUCCCAGUAAACGUAUCAUAUGCACGUAGUUAACAGAUAUAAAAUUUUUUUUUAAGUUACCAAAGAGACAUUGAGUGAGAACGUGUGUCAUCUAUUCGAGGCCACAGAGGCUGUGGAAACGGGUCACACUGUGAGAACCAAGACGGGAAACCAGUCUGUGUAUAUAGAGAACGUGUGUCGUCUAUUCGAGGCCACAGAGGCUGUGGAAACGGGUACUAUUGUGAGAACCAAGACAGGAAACCAGUCUGUGUACAUACGGAAUCAAAAGUCGACAACACCGUGGCUAUCACCGUCGGCACCUUCUGCAGUGUAGUGUUCCUGGCUCUUGUCGUCGUCGGUGUUGUUUUUAUCCUCCGAAGAUUCCAUGGCAGAAGACCCGGGUCGACCAACGGGUCGGCGUUCUAUAUACAUACUGACGAUACAUCAAACUCGUAAUAUGCUGUUUUGAUUAGUAUUUUCUUCGUGUCCCUUUAUGCAUAGAAAUUAUUUCUAUAUGUAUUUUCCUUUAUUUAUACAUUUACUUUCUAAACGAUGACAUUGUUUAAUUUCAUUUCUUAUUUUUAUGAAAAAGAAGACAUUAAAACAUAUCAUUUUUGCUCAGAUAUGACUGGUCAUAUUGUGAAAGACAUUUCAUAAGACAUUUAUUUAUUGCCAUCUCAUAUAUUUAGACGAUGGACUUUA
Dreissena polymorpha is the source of this 788-nucleotide long non-coding RNA. RefSeq lists it as uncharacterized. The record is from RefSeq and is a predicted model, not a curated record. The transcript is spliced from 4 exons. NCBI's taxonomy places the organism in Eukaryota, Metazoa, Mollusca, Bivalvia, Myida, Dreissenidae.